This 496-nucleotide ribosomal RNA is filed under the name uncultured bacterium. RNAcentral describes it as "partial 16S ribosomal RNA". It matches the Rfam family "Bacterial small subunit ribosomal RNA", at positions 28 to 506 of the family's 1533-position model. The record is from RNAcentral.
GAUGAACGCUGGCGGCGUGCCUAAUACAUGCAAGUCGAGCGAACGGACGAGAAGCUUGCUUCUCUGAUGUUAGCGGCGGACGGGUGAGCAACACGUGGAUAACCUACCUAUAAGACUGGGAUAACUUCGGGAAACCGGAGCUAAUACCGGAUGAUAUUUUGAACCGCAUGGUUCAAAAGUGAAAGACGGUCUUGCUGUCACUUAUAGAUGGAUCCGCGCUGCAUUAGCUAGUUGGUAAGGUAACGGCUUACCAAGGCAACGAUGCAUAGCCGACCUGAGAGGGUGAUCGGCCACACUGGAACUGAGACACGGUCCAGACUCCUACGGGAGGCAGCAGUAGGGAAUCUUCCGCAAUGGGCGAAAGCCUGACGGAGCAACGCCGCGUGAGUGAUGAAGGUCUUCGGAUCGUAAAACUCUGUUAUUAGGGAAGAACAUAUGUGUAAGUAACUGUGCACAUCUUGACGGUACCUAAGCAGAAAGCCACGGCUAACUACGU